CACAGAGUUAGCCGAUGCUUAUUCCUCAGAUACCAUCAUUGUUUCUUCUCCGAGAAAAGAAGUUGACGACCCGUAGGCCUUCCACCUCCACGCGGCGUUGCUCCGUCAGGCUUUCGCCCAUUGCGGAAAAUUCCCCACUGCUGCCUCCCGUAGAAGUCUGGGCCGUGUCUCAGUCCCAGUGUGGCUGAUCAUCCUCUCGGACCAGCUACUGAUCAUCGCCUUGGUAAGCUAUUGCCUCACCAACUAGCUAAUCAGACGCGACGCCCCUCGUUGGGCGGUAUUUCUCCUUUUGCCUCCUCAGCCGUACGGGGUAUUAGCCUAACCGUUUCCAGUUCGUUCGUUCCCCUCCCGAAGGGUCCGGGUUCUUACCGCGUUACUCGACCCGUUCGCCCACGUACGGAAACCUACCCUACCUUCCCGUUCG
RNAcentral lists this ribosomal RNA (424 nucleotides) under uncultured bacterium. RNAcentral describes it as "partial 16S ribosomal RNA". The record is from RNAcentral.